AUGCAGCUAGCCAAAAAUGAUAAUAUAGAAAAGGUUCGUGGAGAUUCUCCAAAUAAGUUACUAAUUAAAAAUCAAUGUGAAUAUUCUAACACAUUCAUAAAUAAUAAAAUACAGAAUAUAAAUAAUAGUAUUGUUAACGUUGACAAAAACAAACCUAUAAUACCUAUGGUUAAUCCAAACAAUGCUAUAUUUGGUUAUGAUGAAAUAAAAAAUUAUGUUAUGCAUGAUAAUAUGGAUAAUAACAGUAUUAACAAAAGUAAUAUAAAUAACAUUGAGGGAAAUGUAUAUUAUAAUAAUUUUUUUUUACCAUACAUAAAUAACACAAGUGUUGAAAUGAACAAUCCUUUUUUUAAAAACAACAACAAUAACAACCACAACAACAAUAAUAAUAAUAGCAGUACUAGUAGUAGUAGUGUUGAUAAACAAGGUAUUAUAUCCAAUGUACCGCUUAAUUAUAAAAAAAUAAAUAUAAACAAGUAUACGAUGUAUAACGCAAUGCAAAACCCCUUGCAAAAUCCAUUACAAAAUCCGUUACAAAAUUCAUUGCAAAAUCCGUUACAAAAUUCUUUACAAAAUUCGUUACAAAAUCCUUUGCAAACUCCUUUGCAAACUCCUUUGCAAAACGCUAUAUACCCAAGUUGGGAAGAUAUGAGUAAAUAUAACGAAAUGUGUACCAACAUAAACAUUCAUGAAAAUAAAUUUCUUAAUAUGAAUCAUAUGACUGAUAAAGAACGAAAAAAACAAUUUGAAAAACAAGAACAAAGUAAUAUAAUAAGAAAUAAAAAUAAUCAACAAAUGACUAAAUUGUCAGAUUCACAACUGAAUUUAUCUACAAAUGAGAAUAUAGACGAUGGAUCACAAUGGGUAAGUAAUUGUAAUUUAAAUGAAAAUAUAAAUACCAUGUUAAAUAGCAAACAAUUUAAUAUUUUUUUAAAUAAUAAAAAAACAUAUAUUCAACGAAAUUCAAACAAUGCUUAUUAUCCGUUGACUGUAAAUAAUAAAUCAAGUGUAAAUAAAAAUAACCCAAUACAAAAUAAAAAAAAAGAUAUUUAUAAUAAUAUGAAUAAUUUGAUAGUACAGUCAAAUAAAGGUAAUAAUGUUAAUACAGUUUCUACCCCAACUGCUUCUUCUAUUUCUGCUUCUUCUAUUUCUGCUUCUUCUAUUUCUGCUUCUUCUCCUUCUGCUGCUAAUAUUAAUACUAACAACGUGUUUAAUACAAUUUGUAAAAACAGUUCGAGUUAUGUUUCAACAAAAAAUGGGGGUAUGAUACAUAUAGAAAAUAAUAAUAUUAACAAUGUAACUACAAGUAAUAACAAUGACAAAGAUACUGUAACUGUUGGUAAUGGUAGUAGUAGUACUAGUAGUAAUAGUGGUACUAGUAGUAAUAGUGGUACUAGUAGUAAAAGUAGUGGUAGUAAUAACAUGGGAAUUGUUAAAAGUAUUAGUAAUAAUAGUUUUGGUAGUACUGUAAACGAAUUUUGUUUUUUUAAACCAGGACAACCUAAUUUUGUUUAUAAUAAUAAAAACAAAAAAGAUUAUAAUAAAUAUUAUUUAAAUAAAAAAUGUGAUGUAAUAAAUAAAAUUCCUAACGAGAAUAUAAUGUAUCCUACAAAUUACAAUUCUAUUAUGAAUUAUCAUUAUAACAAUCAAAUAAAUACAAUUGAUGAUAUAAAAGCAAGUGUGUCAAUAGGACACCAAUCAGUAAAAGGUAUCGAUAUUAGUAAUGUAAAAACGCAUAUAAAAGUUGUUAAUAAUAGUGGUGGUACAAGUGUUAGUGCUACUGGUAGUGGUACUAGUGGUAACAGUAAUAAUAAUAGUACAAUUAAUAAAAUUAUAAAUGAAAAAAUUAUAAAU
Molecule: long non-coding RNA, 1854 nt
Organism: Piliocolobus tephrosceles (Ugandan red Colobus)
Lineage: Eukaryota; Metazoa; Chordata; Mammalia; Primates; Cercopithecidae
Source: Ensembl